This 464-nucleotide ribosomal RNA is filed under the name Vreelandella stevensii. RNAcentral's name for it is "partial 16S ribosomal RNA". It matches the Rfam family "Bacterial small subunit ribosomal RNA", at positions 338 to 795 of the family's 1533-position model. Lineage: Bacteria; Pseudomonadati; Pseudomonadota; Gammaproteobacteria; Oceanospirillales; Halomonadaceae. The record is from RNAcentral.
CCUAGGGAGGCAGCAGUGGGGAAUAUUGGACAAUGGGCGAAAGCCUGAUCCAGCCAUGCCGCGUGUGUGAAGAAGGCCUUCGGGUUGUAAAGCACUUUCAGUGGGGAAGAAAGCCUUGGGGCUAAUACCCUCGAGGAAGGACAUCACCCACAGAAGAAGCACCGGCUAACUCCGUGCCAGCAGCCGCGGUAAUACGGAGGGUGCGAGCGUUAAUCGGAAUUACUGGGCGUAAAGCGCGCGUAGGCGGUCUGAUAAGCCGGUUGUGAAAGCCCCGGGCUCAACCUGGGAACGGCAUCCGGAACUGUCAGGCUAGAGUGCAGGAGAGGAAGGUAGAAUUCCCGGUGUAGCGGUGAAAUGCGUAGAGAUCGGGAGGAAUACCAGUGGCGAAGGCGGCCUUCUGGACUGACACUGACGCUGAGGUGCGAAAGCGUGGGUAGCAAACAGGAUUAGAUACCCUGGUAGUC